Molecule: ribosomal RNA, 478 nt
Filed under: uncultured bacterium
Lineage: Bacteria
Description: partial 16S ribosomal RNA
Rfam family: Bacterial small subunit ribosomal RNA
Source: RNAcentral
GACGAACGCUGGCGGCGUGCUUAACACAUGCAAGUCGAACGGUAAGGCCCUUCGGGGUACACGAGUGGCGAACGGGUGAGUAACACGUGGGUGAUCUGCCCUGCACUUCGGGAUAAGCCUGGGAAACUGGGUCUAAUACCGGAUAGGGCUCCUGGCUUCAUAGUUGGGGGUGGAAAGCUUUUGCGGUGUGGGAUGGGCCCGCGGCCUAUCAGCUUGUUGGGGGGGUAAUGGCCUACCAAGGCGACGACGGGUAGCCGGCCUGAGAGGGUGACCGGUCACACUGGGACUGAGAUACGGCCCAGACUCCUACGGGAGGCAGCAGUGGGGAAUAUUGCACAAUGGGCGCAAGCCUGAUGCAGCGACGCCGCGUGAGGGAUGACGGCCUUCGGGUUGUAAACCUCUUUCAGCUAUGACGAAGCGCAAGUGACGGUAGUAGCAGAAGAAGGACCGGCCGACUACGUGCCAGCCGCCGCUGUAA